UACGGAGGAUCCGAGCGUUAUCCGGAUUUAUUGGGUUUAAAGGGUGCGCAGGCGGGAGAUUAAGUCGGCGGUGAAAUUUUGCAGCUCAACUGUAAAAGUGCCAUUGAUACUGGUUUUCUUGAGUGUGGAUGAAGUAGGUGGAAUUUGUGGUGUAGCGGUGAAAUGCAUAGAUAUCACGAGGAACUCCGAUUGCGCAGGCAGCUUACUAAGCCAUAACUGACGCUCAGGCACGAAGGCGUGGGGAUCAAACAGGAUUAGA
RNAcentral lists this ribosomal RNA (259 nucleotides) under uncultured prokaryote. RNAcentral's name for it is "partial 16S ribosomal RNA". It matches the Rfam family "Bacterial small subunit ribosomal RNA", at positions 524 to 782 of the family's 1533-position model. The record is from RNAcentral.